UACGUAGGGGGCAAGCGUUGUCCGGAAUCAUUGGGCGUAAAGAGCGUGUAGGCGGUUCGGUAAGUCGGCUGUGAAAGUCCAGGGCUCAACCCUGGGAUGCCGGUCGAUACUGCCGGACUAGAGUUCGGGAGAGGCGAGUGGAAUUCCCGGUGUAGCGGUGAAAUGCGCAGAUAUCGGGAGGAACACCUAUGGCGAAGGCAGCUCGCUGGGACGUUACUGACGCUGAGACGCGAAAGCGUGGGGAGCAAACAGG
RNAcentral lists this ribosomal RNA (253 nucleotides) under uncultured bacterium. Its description in RNAcentral is "partial 16S ribosomal RNA". It matches the Rfam family "Bacterial small subunit ribosomal RNA", at positions 524 to 776 of the family's 1533-position model. The record is from RNAcentral.